Long non-coding RNA from Thunnus maccoyii (southern bluefin tuna), 3403 nucleotides. RefSeq lists it as uncharacterized. The transcript is spliced from 7 exons. The record is from RefSeq and is a predicted model, not a curated record. Lineage: Eukaryota; Metazoa; Chordata; Actinopteri; Scombriformes; Scombridae.
GCACCAGUUUCAGACUGCUCUGAAUGCUAGGUUCCCAACAGUUUUUUCUACUCUCAGCUUGAACUGACGUCAGAUCGUGACGGAUAUCUCCAUAUGGUCACCCGCUCCAUAAACAGCGACACCCCUGCCCGCCCGGUCUCUCUCGGAAAUUAGACCGCUCUGCUGUGCCUUGCUGCUCAGGACUACUCUCCAGGUUUUUGACAUUGUUCAGUAUGUCUCCCAGUGAUUUUUGGUUGUGUAGGAAAGCUAUAUUUGUAUGCCCUUGCUAAAGAAGAAAGCACCAGACAGCAGUGGAUACAGUUUUCAGGACAGACAAAUACCUCUGUGUAUGUUUGUUCACACCAGUUGACAGAGGACUGUUUUCUCAACCAAGCCAAGUGUGAAGCUGGAUUUUCGGCUAGGCUGCUGCUAAAAGACUGGGCUGUUCCAUCUAUAAAAGGCCUUGUUGAAGAGUCAGAAGCGCAAGCUGUUAGUAACAUUAUAUCAAUAUGUCUUGCCUGUGUUUGUCUUGUUUCAAUAUUCCGACCAAAUGGCUUAUGAAUGCGGUGUCAAUGCAGACAGUGGGCAUAUACACGUAGCUAAAGUUUUCUAUCUAGCUAACGGGGAUUUGCACAUAACAAUACAGACGUGCACCAAGCAGUCAGAUAUGUAAUAUACCAUUAUUUCAGCCAUGUUCGCUCAAAAACGGAGCGUUAUUUUCCUUACCAUCAAGGAUAAAUGUCACCAUCCCCCACAUGUUACCUGGCUGAUUGCAAAUUACAAGCAAUCCAGGUAACUGUAAUAACUUGCUAACAGAAAACAAUGAGGGAGAGGGAGGAAGAAGACGUUUAGAUGAAGAGUCAGAAGCACAAGCUGUGAGUAACAUUGUGUCACUGAAAUGUUUGUUGUAUGUUGAUAUUCAGACCACAUGGCUUAUGAAUACGGUGUCAGUGUGGAUAGUGGGCAUAUAAAGGUAGCUAAAGUUUUCUAUCUAGCUAACCGUAAUUUGCACAUAACAAUACAGACGUGCACCGAGCAGUCAGAUAUGUAAUAUGCCAUUAUUUCAACCAUGUCCGCUCAAAAACGUAUCAUUAUUUUCCUAACCACUGAGGAUAAGUGUCACCAUCCCUCACGUUACUUGGCUGAUUGCAAAAUACAAGCAAUCCAGGUAACUGUAAUAACUUGCUAACAGAAAACAAUGAGGGAGAGGGAGGAGGAAGACGUUUAGAUGAGGAGUCAGAAGCACAAGCUGUGAGUAACAUUGUGUCACUGAAAUGUUUGUUGUAUGUUGAUAUUCAGACCACAUGGCUUAUGAAUACGGUGUCAGUGUGGAUAGUGGGCAUAUAAAGGUAGCUAAAGUUUUCUAUCUAGCUAACCGUAAUUUGCACAUAACAAUACAGACGUGCACCGAGCAGUCAGAUGUGUAAUAUGCCAUUAUUUCAACCAUGUCCGCUCAAAAACAUCAUUAUUAUAGUAUAAUUAUUUUCCUAACCACUGAGGAUAAGUGUCACCAUCCCCCACGUUACUUGGCUGAUUGCAAAAUACAAGCAAUCCAGGUAACUGUGUUAACUUGCUAACAGAAAACAAUGGGGAAGAGGGAGGAAACCUCCAAAUGUCUGCAGCUGUUUAUUUUACCGGUGGAUCCUUCACUCAGGUGGAAAAGAUAUUGGAGAGACUGCUGCAUGUACAUAAAAGUAUGAAAUUUGUUUCAUACUAAAAUAUUUAUAACAUUUGAUCUGCUAUGUUUUUCGUACUCAAAGCCAUGAAUGUCCAGGUGUUCAAAUAUAACAUUUUCAGGAGGCAUGCCAGGAAUCUUCUGGAACCAGCAAUAAACCAUAAAUGGAAGAAGGAUCAGCAGAUACUGUUUCGGCAUCUGACACAGAAGGGAAAAAUCGCAGUGGGUGGAGAUAUGAGGGCAGACUCACCAGGACACUUCAGCAGCUACACCCUCACGCACCUUGAGAGCAACAACAUUGACAUUCAGCUUGUACAGUAAAUCACUAGAGCAACAAGGUUGGUGGAAAAAGAAGGACUCAAAAGAGACCUAGAUCUUCUGGAGGCAAUCCAUCUGAAUGGAUUACAUUAUGACUGACUGCCAUACACAGGUUCAGAAAUUUCUGAGGGAGCGUAAGGUCAUCCAAUACUAUGACGUUUGGCACUUUGAGAAGGGUUUGUCCAAAAAGUUGGUAAAACUGGCCAAGAACAAGGAGUGUGUGGUGUUGUGCAAGUGGUUGCCUAGCAUCAAAAACCACAUUUAUUGUACAGCCACAUCUUCUAAGUCUGGACCAGAGAAGGUUGCAAAAUGAAAGUCCCUUAUAAACCACAUUCAGAAUGUCCACACACAUGAAGAUCCGCUCUUCCCCAAGUGUGCUCAUCCUGACAGAGUCUAAAUGGACCCCAGCAAGUGGUUUCAAUCAGGUUCAGUGGCCCUAUACAAAGUGAAGAAACUCCUACUGAACAAACAAGUUCUCCGUGAUGUGGAAAAACAUGGAGUCAUGACCACCAAACUUCAUCACUGGAGGCCCUCCACAGUGUCAUUUUACGCUUCGUGCUGGAAAAUGUGGUUUUCCCUUACAUUGGAAUGCUGUGCAGGCUGUACCUGGCUGACAUGCAUUUCAACGAGAAUGCAGAGCGAGGACAAGCAGCCACUUCUGAGGGCAAAGCUGUCUACAAGAUUAUGUUCCCAAAGUCCAAGAAGGGAGAAUGCACAGCAAAGCCUGUUAAGACGAAGCCAACAUUCAAAUAUGUGAGUAACCUGAUAUAGUUUCUCUUUGAGGAAGUUUUGGAAGACCCCACCAGAUACACUGGGGAACUCAAACAAAUCCCCAUCCCAGAGGACCUCUGUACACAGUUUGAGAGACCUUCAAAGGGGGACAUCAUCGCCAGACAUGUCUCACGUUUCAGUCGAGGGGUGGCUGGAACCCAACACAGUGGCCACCAGGAUCAGGAAACUCCUGGCGUAUACGGCACACACGACGGGAUGACAACCCUGACCUGUCUUCCAAGGUAUCCCCAACACCAGCUAACAAAACUGCGGUAUGCGAGAUACCUGUAACAUCUGAAAGACAGAGAAGAAGACAUCCUCAUCACAGGAAAUGGUGACUGUAUGGCUUGUUAGCUGUAUUUUUUGUGUUAUAUAGAUUUGCUGAUUCCAGUGAAGGACAUUUAUAAAUGCUAGAAAUUAUGACCUAUGAGUCCCAGGGAACAGGAUACUGAUAUUGACCACAUUUGUUUGUAUUUUUUUUUAUAUAGUAUAAUGAACACAGUGUGCACUUUAUGUCUUGUAAAUAAACCACUUUAUUUUUCUUGUGUUAAGUGAUUUAUUGUUUUGAAAUUUGGGAUCAUGUGUUUGUACAUGUGGAGGAAGAAAAUUGAUUGCAUGUUAUAACAACUUUUAUAAUGAGAUGAAAAACUUACUCUUCCU